AUACUUACCUGGACGGAGUCAAUGGGCGUUCAAUAAGACCCGUGGCCUAGGCUGUUGAUUUCCAUUGCACUUUGGAAGGGCGCUUGCCUAAGAUCGGUCCAAGUGGUUGAGUCUAUGUCAUAAUUUGUGAUAGUGGGGGUCUACAUUCGCGCGGCCCCUUC
Molecule: small nuclear RNA, 161 nt
Organism: Solanum stenotomum
Lineage: Eukaryota; Viridiplantae; Streptophyta; Magnoliopsida; Solanales; Solanaceae
Product: U1 spliceosomal RNA
Exons: 1
Source: RefSeq, a predicted model, not a curated record